Non-coding RNA from Triticum aestivum (bread wheat), 132 nucleotides. Lineage: Eukaryota; Viridiplantae; Streptophyta; Magnoliopsida; Poales; Poaceae. The record is from Rfam.
AUUGUACUCCCUCCGUCUGGAAAUACUUCUCAAAAUGGAUAAAAGGAGAUGUAUCUAGACGUAUUUUAGUUCUAGAUACAUCUCUUUUUAUCCAUUUUGAUGACAAGUAUUUUCGGACGGAGGGAGUAUAAU